GAUGAGCGCUGGCGGCGUGCCUAAUACAUGCAAGUCGAGCGAACGGACGAGAAGCUUGCUUCUCUGAUGUUAGCGGCGGACGGGUGAGUAACACGUGGAUAACCUACCUAUAAGACUGGGAUAACUUCGGGAAACCGUAGCUAAUACCGGAUAAUAUUUUGAACCGCAUGGUUCAAAAGUGAAAGACGGUCUUGCUGUCACUUAUAGAUGGAUCCGCGCUGCAUUAGCUAGUUGGUAAGGUAACGGCUUACCAAGGCAACGAUGCAUAGCCGACCUGAGAGGGUGAUCGGCCACACUGGAACGGAGACACGGUCCAGACUCCUACGGGAGGCAGCAGUAGGGAAUCUUCCGCAAUGGGCGAAAGCCUGACGGAGCAACGCCGCGUGAGUGAUGAAGGUCUUCGGAUCGUAAAACUCUGUUAUUAGGGAAGAACAUAUGUGUAAGUAACUGUGCACAUCUUGACGGUACCUAAUCAGAAAGCCACGGCUAACUACGUG
RNAcentral lists this ribosomal RNA (497 nucleotides) under uncultured bacterium. RNAcentral's name for it is "partial 16S ribosomal RNA". It matches the Rfam family "Bacterial small subunit ribosomal RNA", at positions 28 to 507 of the family's 1533-position model. The record is from RNAcentral.